AGCCUUCCUCCUUUUUCCUUAUUCUUUUAUUUUGGUCACAUAAACCAAAACCCAUUUGCAUUAUCUACUCAUUUGAAAGAACUCAAACAAAGUAGCCCAUGUCUUCUUCUUUGUCUCGCAAUUUUUUCUCUGAAAAUGGCUAAUCAAUGUUGAAAUUCUUCAACAAACAAUCAUUCAUCUUCUACAUUUGAGUUUCGUAAGCCUUCGAUUUUGAGGGAACAAGACAGCAGCACAUGAUAUGUUUUAUGACUCAAAUGAAUACAACAACACAACCCCUGGUUUGGCUCGACAACAACGGGUUUCUUGCCUUCUCUUGAUUCGAAAAAUCAGCAAUUGUUUUUGGUCUCUAGUUACUAAAAAUCUAUAGAGAUCGGUACCAAUCGGGAACGAUAAAUGAAGAACUGAUUAGAGUAUGCGUGGAAGAUAUGUUGGAUUAGUGUAUGUAUUGGAGUUAUAGUGUCCGUAUUGGGCUUUAGUGUGUUGUAGAUUUGAUUAUGUUGACAAUUAUGGACUUUGAUUUAGAUGUUUGGUUUUGAGAUUAGUUAUUACAAUUAAGUUUAGGUCUUGUGAUAUUUUUUACGAGUAAUUAUUUGAGAUAUGAGUUCUUUGGGUUAGUAAAUCCCGUAAUGACCUGUCUUAUUUGGUCAACCGAUAAGUCAAGUUGUUACAUUUGCAGCCUUUGAAAGAAGGAAAAUAAUGGCACAUAAUCAAUUAGAGGAAGAACUCCAAAGGGGAUAUAAUCAAUUAACGACGGAUAAUUACAAUGCAUAUAUGCGACAGCCGACAAAUAGCACAAGAAAGAAAACAAUUUGUGUUAAGUUUCAAUCACAUUUUAAUCAAUAGCACAAGAUAGAUACAACCAAGGCUUAGAGCAGAUGAGGUGUUCUAUCAAAUAGGUGCAGCUGAAGCUCAGUGCAGAUGAGCUAUGCUAUCCUGUUUACACCUACAACUACAACCAAGUCCAAGCUUCCAAUUCACACAAAAACAAUUACAUCAGAGUAUUUUGUUCUCAUGUUUGCAGAUGUCAUGAGGAACACGUGCUUAUAGUUAGUUGUGCAAUAGGAAGGUUGUUAGUCUAAUCAGAUUGUAUAAGUUGUUAGCAAAGUUGUUAGGAGGUAGUUAUAGGUGUAACUAAGUCUUGUAUUGAAGGGGUCUGUCUAUAUAUAGACUUUCCUUACCUAUUGUAAAGAUUAAUCUUUCUGUACUGAAUAAAAUGAAUUUCUUCUUGA
This is a long non-coding RNA of Amaranthus tricolor (Joseph's coat), 1229 nucleotides long. RefSeq lists it as uncharacterized. The transcript has 3 exons. NCBI's taxonomy places the organism in Eukaryota, Viridiplantae, Streptophyta, Magnoliopsida, Caryophyllales, Amaranthaceae. The record is from RefSeq and is a predicted model, not a curated record.